Molecule: ribosomal RNA, 253 nt
Filed under: uncultured bacterium
Lineage: Bacteria
Description: partial 16S ribosomal RNA
Rfam family: Bacterial small subunit ribosomal RNA
Source: RNAcentral
UACGGAGGGGGCUAGCGUUGUUCGGAAUUACUGGGCGUAAAGCGCGCGUAGGCGGACCUGCAAGUCGGGGGUGAAAGCCCGAGGCUCAACCUCGGAACUGCCUUCGAUACUGAGGGUCUCGAGUCCGGGAGAGGUGAGUGGAAUUCCUAGUGUAGUGGUGAAAUUCGUAGAUAUUAGGAAGAACACCAGUGGCGAAGGCGGCUCACGGGCCCGGUACUGACGCUGAGGCGCGAAAGCGUGGGGAGCAAACAGG